This 368-nucleotide ribosomal RNA is filed under the name uncultured bacterium. RNAcentral describes it as "bacterial SSU rRNA". It matches the Rfam family "Bacterial small subunit ribosomal RNA", at positions 29 to 424 of the family's 1533-position model. The record is from RNAcentral.
AACGAACGCUGGCGGCAGGCUUAACACAUGCAAGUCGAACGGUUGUAGCAAUACAGCAGUGGCAGACGGGUGAAUAACACGUGGGAACCUUCCUCGUAGUACGGAACAACUCAGGGAAACUUGAGCUAAUACCGUAUACGUCCGAGAGGAGAAAGAUUUAUCGCUAUGAGACGGGCCCGCGUCCGAUUAGCUAGUUGGUGGGGUAACGGCCUACCAAGGCGACGACGGGUAGCCGGCCUGAGAGGGCGACCGGCCACACUGGGACUGAGACACGGCCCAGACUCCUACGGGAGGCAGCAGUGGGGAAUCUUGCGCAACGGGCGAAAGCCUGACGCAGCGACGCCACGUGAGGGAUGACGGCCUCGGUU